This 67-nucleotide transfer RNA is filed under the name Umbonium thomasi. RNAcentral describes it as "tRNA-Ser". It matches the Rfam family "tRNA". Rfam says of the family: Transfer RNA (tRNA) molecules are approximately 80 nucleotides in length. Lineage: Eukaryota; Metazoa; Mollusca; Gastropoda; Trochida; Trochidae. The record is from RNAcentral.
GGCUGCUUAUCUGGGAUAAGUUUUGUCUUGAAAAUAAAAUUGAAGUGUUCGAUUCACUUAGUGGCUU